UAGGGAAUCUUCCACAAAUGGGACGCAAGUCUGAUGGAGCAACGCCGCGUGAGUGAAGAAGGUCUUCGGAUCGUAAAACUCUGUUGUUAGAGAAGAACACGAGUGAGAGUAACUGUUCAUUCGAUGACGGUAUCUAACCAGCAAGUCACGGCUAACUACGUGCCAG
This 166-nucleotide ribosomal RNA is filed under the name uncultured bacterium. RNAcentral describes it as "partial 16S rRNA". It matches the Rfam family "Bacterial small subunit ribosomal RNA", at positions 355 to 511 of the family's 1533-position model. The record is from RNAcentral.